GGAAUUUUGCGCAAUGGGCGAAAGCCUGACGCAGCAACGCCGCGUGAGUGAUGAAGGCCUUCGGGUCGUAAAGCUCUGUCAGAGGGGAAGAACCUCCCGUCGGUUAAUAUCCGGCGGGCCUGACGGUACCCCCAACGGAAGCACCGGCCAACUCCGGGCCAGCAGCCGCGGUAAUACGGAGGGUGCAAGCGUGGUUCGGAAUUAUGGGGCGUAAAGCGCGUGUAGGCGGUCUGUUAAGUCUGAUGUGAAAGCCCCGGGCUCAACCCGGGAAGUGCAUUGGAAACUGGCAGACUUGAGUACGGGAGAGGGUAGUGGAAUUCCGAGUGUAGGGGUGAAAUCCGUAGAUAUUCGGAGGAACACCGGUGGCGAAGGCGGCUACCUGGACCGAUACUGACGCUGAGACGCGAAAGCGUGGGGAGCAAAC
RNAcentral lists this ribosomal RNA (424 nucleotides) under uncultured bacterium. Its description in RNAcentral is "bacterial SSU rRNA". It matches the Rfam family "Bacterial small subunit ribosomal RNA", at positions 358 to 773 of the family's 1533-position model. The record is from RNAcentral.